This 497-nucleotide ribosomal RNA is filed under the name uncultured bacterium. RNAcentral's name for it is "partial 16S ribosomal RNA". It matches the Rfam family "Bacterial small subunit ribosomal RNA", at positions 28 to 507 of the family's 1533-position model. The record is from RNAcentral.
GAUGAACGCUGGCGGCGUGCCUAAUACAUGCAAGUCGAGCGAACAGAUAAGGAGCUUGCUCCUUUGACGUUAGCGGCGGACGGGUGAGUAACACGUGGGUAACCUACCUAUAAGACUGGAAUAACUCCGGGAAACCGGGGCUAAUGCCGGAUAACAUGUUGAGCCGCAUGGUUCUACAGUGAAAGGCGGCUUUGCUGUCACUUAUAGAUGGACCCGCGCCGUAUUAGCUAGUUGGUGAGGUAACGGCUCACCAAGGCAACGAUACGUAGCCGACCUGAGUGGGUGAACGGCCACACUGGAACUGAGACACGGUCCAGACUCCUACGGGAGGCAGCAGUAGUGAAUCUUCCGCGCUGGGCGAAAGCCUGACGGAGCAACGCCGCGUGAGUAAUGAAGGUCUUCGGAUCGUAAAACUCUGUUAUUAGGGAAGAACAAAUGCGUAAGUAACUGUGCGCGUCUUGACGGUACCUAAUCAGAAAGCCACGGCUAACUACGUG